CAAAAACGAAAAUGUUUCUCUUAAGUCUCUUGAGUUUACAGUUCCCAUAUCUCUGGUUGAUGACUCCAGAUUCAGUCGUGUCUGGCUCCUUUUUCAAUACCAUGGGUAACAUGAUGUUCUCUUAUGAGUAGUCAUGAAAUAACUGGCCAUUUCUCUUUUUAGGGGAAGGAAAUGAGCUAAGAUCUUCCUAUGUAGGUCUCUCUUGCCUUAACAGUCUUGAUCCUCUUGCCUCAGACUCCUGAGUGGCGGCAUUGCUAUACUCCCUUUAUGGUGAUUUGUCUCCCCUUUGCUGCUUUCUGCUCUAUUUUUAGGUCUAUUUUAUGUAUGAAUGUUUGUCUUCACGUAUGUAUAUGCACCACGUACUUGCCGUGGGUUGUUGUGAGCUUUGGAUGCUGGGAACUGAACCUGGGUCCUUUCGAAGAAGAGUGAAUGCUCUUAACUGCAGAAUCCCAUCCUGCUGUCUGUUUUUACAAUGGCUCACAGGGCUUUGAGACUUUCGUACUUUGUCUCCUCUGUCCUGUGCUGUGUUUGUGGGGUUCUGUGUUUGUGAGAUGCUGUGUUUGUGGGGUACUGUUUAUAGGGUGCUUGCUCACCUGCAUUGGUGACAGACAUUGUUCGUGAGCUUUGGGGCUCACUCUACAGUUCUGUUUUAUGUGGAGAU
This 661-nucleotide long non-coding RNA is filed under the name Rattus norvegicus (Norway rat). Its description in RNAcentral is "long non-coding RNA NONRATT006644". Lineage: Eukaryota; Metazoa; Chordata; Mammalia; Rodentia; Muridae. The record is from RNAcentral.